Molecule: ribosomal RNA, 166 nt
Filed under: uncultured eukaryote
Lineage: Eukaryota
Description: partial small subunit ribosomal RNA
Rfam family: Eukaryotic small subunit ribosomal RNA
Source: RNAcentral
GUACACACCGCCCGUCGCUACUACCGAUUGGAUGGUUUAGUGAGGCCUUUGGACAGCCGAGUGGGGGGUGAAAGCUCGCUACUUGGGGGGAAAUUGGACAAACUUGAUCAUCUAGAGGAAGUAAAAGUCGUAACAAGGUUUCCGUAGUGAACCUGCAGAAGGAUCA